Molecule: ribosomal RNA, 490 nt
Filed under: uncultured bacterium
Lineage: Bacteria
Description: partial 16S ribosomal RNA
Rfam family: Bacterial small subunit ribosomal RNA
Source: RNAcentral
AUUGAACGCUGGCGGCAGGCCUAACACAUGCAAGUCGAAUGGUAACAGGAAACAGCUUGCUGUUUCGCUGACGAGUGGCGGACGGGUGAGUAAUGUCUGGGAAACUGCCUGAUGGAGGGGGAUAACUACUGGAAACGGUAGCUAAUACCGCAUAACGUCGCAAGACCAAAGAGGGGGACCUUCGGGCCUCUUGCCAUCAGAUGUGCCCAGAUGGGAUUAGCUAGUAGGUGGGGUAACGGCUCACCUAGGCGACGAUCCCUAGCUGGUCUGAGAGGAUGACCAGCCACACUGGAACUGAGACACGGUCCAGACUCCUACGGGAGGCAGCAGUGGGGAAUAUUGCACAAUGGGCGCAGGCCUGAUGCAGCCAUGCCGCGUGUAUGAAGAAGGCCUUCGGGUUGUAAAGUACUUUCAGCGGGGAGGAAGGGAGUAAAGUUAAUACCUUUGCUCAUUGACGUUACCCGCAGAAGAAGCACCGGCUAACUCCGUG